This 1503-nucleotide ribosomal RNA is filed under the name uncultured prokaryote. RNAcentral describes it as "partial 16S ribosomal RNA". It matches the Rfam family "Bacterial small subunit ribosomal RNA". The record is from RNAcentral.
UAAGUUUGAUCCUGGCUCAGAUUGAACGCUGGCGGCAUGCCUAACACAUGCAAGUCGAACGCGAAAGUCAGCACUUCGGUGUGAGUAGAGCGGCGGACGGGUGAGUAACGCGUAGGAAUUUGCCCAGUAGAGGGGGACAACAUGUGGAAACGCAUGCUAAUACCGCAUACGCCCUAUGGGGGAAAGCAGGGGAGCUUCGGACCUUGCGCUAUUGGAGGGAUGAGCCUACGUCCGAUUAGCUUGUUGGUGGGGUAAAGGCCUACCAAGGCGACGAUCGGUAGCUGGUCUGAGAGGAUGAUCAGCCACACUGGGACUGAGACACGGCCCAGACUCCUACGGGAGGCAGCAGUGGGGAAUAUUGGACAAUGGGGGCAACCCUGAUCCAGCGAUGCCGCGUGUGUGAAGAAGGCCUGCGGGUUGUAAAGCCCUUUCAGUGGGGAAGAAAAGCAGCGGAUGAAUAAUCGGCUGUCUUGACGUUACCCACAGAAGAAGCACCGGCUAACUCCGUGCCAGCAGCCGCGGUAAUACGGAGGGUGCGAGCGUUAAUCGGAAUUACUGGGCGUAAAGCGCGCGUAGGCGGUUCGGUCAGUCGGAUGUGAAAGCCCCGGGCUCAACCUGGGAAUUGCAUUCGAUACUGCCGGGCUAGAGUAUGGUAGAGGGUAGUGGAAUUCCCGAUGUAGCGGUGAAAUGCGUAGAUAUCUUGAGGAACACCGGUGGCGAAAGCGGCACUCUGGCGCAAGACUGACGCUGAGGCUCGAAAGCGUGGGGAGCGAACGGGAUUAGAUACCCCGGUAGUCCACGCCGUAAACGUUGUGCACUAGGUGUAGGGGGUAUCGACCCCCCCUGUGCCGCAGCUAACGCAUUAAGUGCACCGCCUGGGGAGUACGGUCGCAAGACUGAAACUCAAAGGAAUUGACGGGGGCCCGCACAAGCGGUGGAGCAUGUGGUUUAAUUCGAGGCAACGCGAAGAACCUUACCCAGACUUGACAUCCCAGGACCGCUAUGGAAACAUAGUUUUCCCUUCGGGGACCAGGAGACAGGUGUUGCAUGGCUGUCGUCAGCUCGUGUCGUGAGAUGUUGGGUUAAGUCCCGCAACGAGCGCAACCCCUGUCCUUAGUUACCAGCACGUUAUGGUGGGCACUCUAAGGAGACUGCCGGUGAUAAGCCGGAGGAAGGUGGGGACGACGUCAAGUCAUCAUGGCCCUUACGUCUGGGGCUACACACGUGCUACAAUGGCCGGUACAAUGAGCCGCAAUACCGCGAGGUGGAGCCAAUCUCAAAAAGCCGGUCUCAGUUCGGAUUGGAGUCUGCAACUCGACUCCAUGAAGUUGGAAUCGCUAGUAAUCGCGUAUCAGCUACGACGCGGUGAAUACGUUCCCGGGCCUUGUACACACCGCCCGUCACAUGACCCGAGUCGGGUGCACCCGAAGUCACUGGCCCAACCCUCUGGGAGGGAGGUGCCUAAGGUGUGCUUGGUAAGGGGGAUGAAGUCGUAACAAGGUA